RNAcentral lists this ribosomal RNA (272 nucleotides) under uncultured bacterium. Its description in RNAcentral is "partial 16S ribosomal RNA". It matches the Rfam family "Bacterial small subunit ribosomal RNA", at positions 29 to 288 of the family's 1533-position model. The record is from RNAcentral.
AGCGAACGUUAGCGGCGCGCCUAACACAUGCAAGUCGCACGAGAAAGGGGGCAACCCCCGGUACAGUGGCGCACGGGUGAGUAACACGUGGAUUACCUGCCCUGGAGUGGUGGAUAACCUGCCGAAAGGUGGGCUAAUACAGCAUGAGACCACGCGGUUUCGAUCGUGAGGUCAAAGCGGGCUUCUGUUCACAAGCUCGCGCUCUAGGAUGGGUCCGCGGCCCAUCAGCUAGUUGGUAGGGUAACGGCCUACCAAGGCAACGACGGGUAGCU